GCCAGCAGCCAUAUCAACUGAAGCUCAGCAGGUGUGAGCCUAGCCAGUACCUGGAUGGGAGACCUCCUGGGAAAAACUAAGGUUGUUGCUGGAA
This 94-nucleotide ribosomal RNA is filed under the name Lepisosteus oculatus (spotted gar). The record is from RNAcentral. Lineage: Eukaryota; Metazoa; Chordata; Actinopteri; Semionotiformes; Lepisosteidae.